GACGAACGCUGGCGGCGUGCCUAACACAUGCAAGUCGAACGGAAAGGCCCUGCUUUUGUGGGGUGCUCGAGUGGCGAACGGGUGAGUAACACGUGAGUAACCUGCCCUUGACUUUGGGAUAACUUCAGGAAACUGGGGCUAAUACCGGAUAGGAGCUCCUGCUGCAUGGUGGGGGUUGGAAAGUUUCGGCGGUUGGGGAUGGACUCGCGGCUUAUCAGCUUGUUGGUGGGGUAGUGGCUUACCAAGGGUUUGACGGGUAGCCGGCCUGAGAGGGUGACCGGCGACAAUGGGACUGAGAGACGGCCCAGACGCCUACGGGAGGCAGCAGUGGGGAAUAUUACACAGUGAGCGGGAGCCUGAUACAGCAACGCCGCGUGCGGGAUGACGGCCUUCGGGUUGUGAACCGCUUUCGCCUGUGACGAAGCGUGAGUGACGGUAAUGGGUAAAGAAGCACCGGCUAACUACGUG
This 468-nucleotide ribosomal RNA is filed under the name uncultured bacterium. RNAcentral describes it as "partial 16S ribosomal RNA". It matches the Rfam family "Bacterial small subunit ribosomal RNA", at positions 28 to 507 of the family's 1533-position model. The record is from RNAcentral.